Oncorhynchus tshawytscha (Chinook salmon) is the source of this 1328-nucleotide long non-coding RNA. Lineage: Eukaryota; Metazoa; Chordata; Actinopteri; Salmoniformes; Salmonidae. The record is from Ensembl.
CAGAGUGGGAUCAGAUCAGCCUGUCAAAUCUCUGUCUUACAGACACACAGAAGCACAAGCUGACUUAAGUCUAAAGAGCUGCAAGACUAGACUAAAUGCUUAAUUACUGUAGUCGGAUUAGGGUUCAGUGGAUAUAUUCAGACUGACCCUGUCUCUGUGGUGAAGUAUUCAGCCCAUUUAUCUCUCUUGCAGGUAACAUAUUAACCCCCUCUCUCUGGCAGGUAACAUAUUAACCCCCUCUCUCUUGCAGGUAACAUAUUAACCCCCUCUCUCUGGCAGGUAACAUAUUAACCCCCUCUCUCUGGCAGGUAACAUUUUAGGCCCAGGUCUGACAGAAUCUGUGCAGAAGAUCUUGGUGCUGCUUUAGGCCCUCCUUGGUUGGGGACAGAAGCACCAGAUCAUCAGUAGACAUUUGACUUCAGAUUCUAGUAGGGUGAGGCUGGGUGCUGCCGACUGUUCUAGUGCCCUCGCCAAUACCUUGAUAUGUAUGUUGAAGAGGGUGGGGCUUAAGCUGCAUCCCUGUCUCACCCCCGGCCCCGUGGGAAGUAAUUCGUUUUUUUUUGCCAAUUUUAACCACACACUUGUUGUUUGUUUCAGUUGUGUAGCAGGUCCUGAAAGCUUUUUUUGAAAUCAACAAAGCAUGAGAAGGCUUUGCUUUUGUUUUGUCUUGUUUGUUUGUCAAUUAGGGUGUGCAGGGUGAAUACGUGGUCUGUCGUAUGGUAAUUUGGUAAAAAGCCAAUUUGACAUUUGCUCAGUACAUUGUUUUCGCCGAGGAAAUGUAUGAGUCUGCUGUUAAUGGUAAUGCAGAAGAUUUUCCCAAGGUUGCUGUUGACGUAAUUCCCCCCGGUAGUUAUUGGGGUCAAAUUGAACUCCACUUUUGUGGAUUGGGCUGAUCAGUCCUUUGUUCCAAAUACUGGGGAAGAUGCCAGAGCUGAGGAUGAUGUUAAAGAGUUCAAGUGUAGCCAUUUGGAAUUUAUGGUCUAUAUUUUAUCAUUUAAUUUAGGAUAUCAUCAACCCCACAAGCCUUUUUGGGUUGGAGGGUUUGUAUUUUGUUCUGCAGUUCAUCCAAUGUAAUUGGAGAAUCCAGUAGGUUCUGGUAGUCUUUAAUAAUUGAUUAAAAUGUUUGUAUUUGAUGUAAACUCAACAAAAUAAGAAACGUCCUCAGUGUCAACUGUGUUUAUUUUCAGCAAACUUAACAUGUGUAAAUAUUUGUAUGACCAUAACAAGAUUCAACAACUGAGACACAAAGUGAAGAAGUUCCACAGACAUGUGACUAACAGAAAUGGAAUUAUGUGUCCCUGAACAAAGGCGGGGGUCAAAAUCCAAAG